Long non-coding RNA from Podarcis raffonei (Aeolian wall lizard), 1022 nucleotides. RefSeq lists it as uncharacterized. Lineage: Eukaryota; Metazoa; Chordata; Lepidosauria; Squamata; Lacertidae. The transcript has 3 exons. The record is from RefSeq and is a predicted model, not a curated record.
CCUUGUCACAUAUCUGGCUCUGAGCAAUGCAGCAGUAAACCUGCAUUAUUGUGCACUCUGCCUAAAUAAUAGUGAGAUUGUUUGGCACUCAGAUAUCACAGGAAAUAGUGAACGUGAAUUGGCAAAAAGUUUAAUAUUUGACAAAAUGAACUGGUUUUGUGGAAAAGAGAGCAAAACUAGGGCUGCCAUAUGUCUGGGAUUUCAAAGACGGAAUUGACAUCCAGGGGGAAUUGCCGAAAGGUGACGCUUUGUCCUGGUUUUUAAGCAAGUUAAUUGAAAAAUCACAUUUUUAUUUGUGUUUUUGUAAAAAUAAAAAACAGCACACACACAACCCUCAAACUUAGGGGUUUGUCUAAAAAAAGCUCAACUUAGGGGUCCUGGUUUCUACUUUUUGGAGUAUGUCAACCCUAGCAAAACCGUUUCUGAAAUAGAUCCACCAAGAUUCAAAACGUUCACCUGGUCUCAGAGAGCCCUCCUGUGUACAUUUAAGUAGAGUUAGCUUUUAAUGGCAAAAAUUGCAGGUAAUUUUCACAGGCAGAAAGAUAACUGUUUUCUACAAUGGACUAGAUGUUACUGAUUCAGUGUCAUUUAUCUUUUCAGAGACUAAGCAAUCAACCAUUUCCCGUGAAUCCAUUUGUUCUGCUUCAUACUGUAUGUGCCUGUGAUAACGCCAGCAUUAAUGGAUCCUCUUCCUCCUCUUUUAAAGCAGAUGAGAAAGUAUGAGCUUGUUGUUAUACCAGGUGUAUUUUCAUCUUCUAGGUGUUGGCUAAUCCUGUUCUGAAUUUUAAUGACCUUAAAAAAGGAUAUGGCAAUUGAAUUAUAUACUCUGCUUAUCAAAGAACAAAGGACAAAGUAACUUGCAGCCUACAAAGAACUGUAAGGUUAUCGGAACAAAAGAAAAUCUUCAAGUCGUUCAGCGGCUGCAUGAAGUGGUGUGUCCAGUCCCUUACCCAGGUUGACACUAGCUCCUUGGAGAGAAUGUAUGGAAAGGAAAACAAACUAGUUAGCAUUACAUGGAAAGA